UCUGUCGUGGUGCAGUGGUUUAGCACGCUGGACGCAUUAAGUCCAGAGACCUGAGUUCGAUUCUCAGCGACGGAA
This is a non-coding RNA of Phyllosticta capitalensis, 75 nucleotides long. NCBI's taxonomy places the organism in Eukaryota, Fungi, Ascomycota, Dothideomycetes, Botryosphaeriales, Phyllostictaceae. The record is from the annotation of a GenBank genome assembly.